RNAcentral lists this long non-coding RNA (401 nucleotides) under Xyrichtys novacula (pearly razorfish). The record is from RNAcentral. Lineage: Eukaryota; Metazoa; Chordata; Actinopteri; Labriformes; Labridae.
CUCAAUUGUCUCAAGGCGAUUCAGUGGUGAGGGAUUGUGUGCUGGGUCCAUAGUUUGGCCAGAUUGUACUGUAACGGGUAUUGACUGGACCCAAUUGCAGCACAAACAAGCAGGUUCACUUUAACAACAGUCUUUAUUGAACACCAAAUCCAAUGAAGCAGCAGAUUAUAGCAGGUGGGUAUGGCAGGAUUCGAACUCGGGUCUUCCGGGUGAUAGGCGAGCAGAUUAGCAGUGGACCACAGGUCAGGCAAGAGUUUUGAACUCGUGAGCAGGGAAUUGUCCACAGUCUUAAUUUGCUCUACGAGUGUAGUGAAGGGGAAAACGCUCAACUCACAGCUGGAGGAAGAUUUCUUGGAGAGUGGUUCAGGUGAGGACUGGGUGAGGAUCCAGAGCUUGCAGAG